GGACGAACGCUGGCGGCGUGCUUAACACAUGCAAGUCGAACGCUGAAGGCCCAGCUUGCUGGGUUGGAUGAGUGGCGAACGGGUGAGUAACACGUGAGUAACCUGCCCYCUUCUUUGGGAUAACGGUCGGAAACGGCUGCUAAUACCGGGUAUUCACUGUCCUUCGCAUGGGGGGUGGUGGAAAGGUUUUUUCUGGUGGGGGAUGGGCUCGCGGCCUAUCAGCUUGUUGGUGGGGUGAUGGCUUACCAAGGCUUUGACGGGUAACCGGCCUGAGAGGGUGACCGGUCACAUUGGGACUGAGAUACGGCCCAGACUCCUACGGGAGGCAGCAGUGGGGAAUAUUGCACAAUGGGCGAAAGCCUGAUGCAGCGACGCCGCGUGAGGGAUGGAGGCCUUCGGGUUGUAAACCUCUUUCGCUCAUGGUCAAGCCGCAGCUUUGGGUUGUGGUGAGGGUAGUGGGUAAAGAAGCACCGGCUAACUACGU
This 484-nucleotide ribosomal RNA is filed under the name Actinomyces sp. 'ARUP UnID 76'. RNAcentral describes it as "bacterial SSU rRNA". It matches the Rfam family "Bacterial small subunit ribosomal RNA", at positions 27 to 506 of the family's 1533-position model. Lineage: Bacteria; Bacillati; Actinomycetota; Actinomycetes; Actinomycetales; Actinomycetaceae. The record is from RNAcentral.